Caenorhabditis elegans is the source of this 150-nucleotide non-coding RNA. NCBI's taxonomy places the organism in Eukaryota, Metazoa, Nematoda, Chromadorea, Rhabditida, Rhabditidae. The record is from Ensembl.
GGCCUAGGCUUAGACCUAGGUCUAGACUUAGGCUUGGGCGUAGGCUUAGGCAUAGGACUAGGCCUGGGCUUAGACUCAGGCUUAGACUUAAGCUUAGGCUUAGGCUUAAGCUUAGGCCUAGGCUUAGGCUUAGGCUAAGAUUUAGGCUUA